GGAGAAAAGCAGGGGAUCGCAAGACCUCACGUUAUAGGAGCGGCCGAUGUCCGAUUAGCUAGUUGGUGGGGUAAAGGCCUACCAAGGCGACGAUCGGUAGCUGGUCUGAGAGGAUGAUCAGCCACACUGGGACUGAGACACGGCCCAGACUCCUACGGGAGGCAGCAGUGGGGAAUUUUGGACAAUGGGCGAAAGCCUGAUCCAGCCAUGCCGCGUGCGGGAAGAAGGCCUUCGGGUUGUAAACCGCUUUAGUCCGGGAAAAAGGGGUGCGAGGAUAGUACCCUUGUGCUUUGAUGGUACUGGAAGAAUAAGCACCGGCUAACUACGUGCCAGCAGCCGCGGUAAUACGUAGGGUGCGAGCGUUAAUCGGAAUUACUGGGCGUAAAGCGUGCGCAGGCGGUCUUGUAAGACAGUCGUGAAAGCCCCGGGCUUAACCUGGGAACUGCGUUUGAAACUACAAAGCUAG
Molecule: ribosomal RNA, 466 nt
Filed under: Nitrosospira sp. YKU20
Lineage: Bacteria; Pseudomonadati; Pseudomonadota; Betaproteobacteria; Nitrosomonadales; Nitrosomonadaceae
Description: bacterial SSU rRNA
Rfam family: Bacterial small subunit ribosomal RNA
Source: RNAcentral